This 255-nucleotide ribosomal RNA is filed under the name uncultured bacterium. Its description in RNAcentral is "partial 16S ribosomal RNA". It matches the Rfam family "Bacterial small subunit ribosomal RNA", at positions 524 to 776 of the family's 1533-position model. The record is from RNAcentral.
UACGGAGGGUGCGAGCGUUGUCCGGAAUCAUUGGGCGUAAAGGGCGCGUAGGUGGCCUGCUAAGCGUGCGGUGAAAGUCGGGGGCUCAACCCCCGAUCGGCCGUGCGAACUGGGAGGCUUGAGCACUGUAGAGGCAGGCGGAAUUCCGGGUGUAGCGGUGGAAUGCGUAGAGAUCCGGAGGAACACCGGGUGGCGAAGGCGGGUCUCUGGGCCGGAUACUGACGCUGAGGAGCGAAAGCGUGGGGAGCGAACAGG